Molecule: transfer RNA, 71 nt
Organism: Ceratocystis platani
Lineage: Eukaryota; Fungi; Ascomycota; Sordariomycetes; Microascales; Ceratocystidaceae
Rfam family: tRNA
About the family: Transfer RNA (tRNA) molecules are approximately 80 nucleotides in length. Their secondary structure includes four short double-helical elements and three loops (D, anti-codon, and T loops).
Source: Rfam
GGGGAUAUAGUUUAAUAGUAGAACUAUUACGUUGCAUGUAAUAAAUUCGGAUGCGAAUUCCGAUAUCUCCA